This 775-nucleotide ribosomal RNA is filed under the name uncultured Neocallimastigales. Its description in RNAcentral is "partial large subunit ribosomal RNA". It matches the Rfam family "Eukaryotic large subunit ribosomal RNA", at positions 24 to 645 of the family's 3401-position model. Lineage: Eukaryota; Fungi; Neocallimastigomycota; Neocallimastigomycetes; Neocallimastigales. The record is from RNAcentral.
CGCAUCUGUGAUGCAGCAUAUCAAUAAGCGGAGGAAAAGAAACUAACAAGGAUUCCCUUAGUAACGGCGAGUGAAGCGGGAAGAGCUCAAAUUUGAAAUCUUCAAGGUUUUACCUUGACGAAUUGUAGUUUAAAGAAGUGUUUUCUGUUGAAGUUUUGGUAAAAGUUCUUUGGAAUAGGACAUCAUAGAGGGUGAGAAUCCCGUAUUUGACCAUUAUUUUCAGCUGUGUGAUACACUUUCAAAGAGUCGGAUUGUUUGGGAAUGCAGUCCAAAAUGGGUGGUAAAUUUCAUCUAAAGCUAAAUAUUGGCGAGAGACCGAUAGCGAACAAGUACCGUGAGGGAAAGAUGAAAAGAACUUUGAAAAGAGAGUUAAACUAGUACGUGAAAUUGUCAAAAGGGAAGCGUUUGACACCAGUGUUGUUUUCUCGAAAAUCAAUUAAAAAGAGUUAGAUUUUGUUGCGUAUUGACCUUAACAGCUUGCAUUUCAAUUUUCUUGCUUUUUUUAAUGCACUUUUCGUUUAACAAGUCAACAUCAGUUUCUUUUGUUGUAAAAAGGUCAUUGGAAGGUGGCUUUCUUUUCGGAGAAAGUGUUUAUAGCCUUUGACUCCUGCAAUCGGAGAGAUUGAGGUCUGCAGCGUAGAUCCUUCGGGGCUAGAUACAUUUGUGCUAAGUUAUAGCAUUUUAUAGACAACUUGUUGACUAUGAUUUAGUCUUGUAGCAUACUCGCUUAUGUUAUUUUACCUACGCUUAGGAUGUUGAUCUCUCACAGUCGAGC